UUUUUUUGAGAUGGUGGUGGUUGUGAUUUGGAACACAAAAAUUCGGUUUAUACAAACCGAAAAAUACACACUUCGGUUUUUAGAAAUCAAAAAUAGAUGUACAGUGAAAUUCAAAAAUCUUUAAUUGAUGGAGUUAAGGAAUAAAGUUAGGUUCAUGUUGUAGAUAGUGAAAAAUGGUGAAUGUUUAAUGAAGGAGGUUUGGUGUUCUGAGAUAAAGAUUGCUUAAAGUAU
This 231-nucleotide long non-coding RNA is filed under the name Trifolium pratense (red clover). RNAcentral describes it as "long non-coding RNA (TPRA_LNC002382)". Lineage: Eukaryota; Viridiplantae; Streptophyta; Magnoliopsida; Fabales; Fabaceae. The record is from RNAcentral.